AAUUUUAGCUGAUAUUCGGUGACACUGUUUCUGGAAUAUGUCAGCACAAUAUACAAGAUAUCUUUUAGAUGACAAUGCUCUGCUAAUUGUGCUCGACAAUAAAGAGAACAAAAAACAAAAUCGAUUACAUUUAUAGCAUUUAUAGGAGUACAUGGCUUAUUCAUAUCCCAAACAUUAUGGGUGUUUUGGACUUUGGAGUGCCUGAAUAUGUUGAUUCAAUGGUUAAUAUGCAAA
Molecule: unclassified non-coding RNA, 234 nt
Filed under: Hevea brasiliensis (rubber tree)
Lineage: Eukaryota; Viridiplantae; Streptophyta; Magnoliopsida; Malpighiales; Euphorbiaceae
Source: RNAcentral